CUCACCUCCAAUUUCCCCUCCAACCCACUGCUUCCUGACUCGCUCUUCUCCAUCGAACGGCUCUUGCUCAGGUUCCACGAGCUGCCCAUCUCCAGAGAAGAGCAGGUGAGGCCGCUGCCUGUCUUCAUGCGUCUGGCAUUGCCCACCGGCCGUGCUGGCUGAAGAAGAGAGGACAUGAGGACCCCAGGAUGCCCAGCGUGAGGACCCCAGGACACCCAGCGCGAGGACCCCAGGACGCCCAGCUCGAGGACCCCAGGACGCCCAGCGCGAGGACCCCAGGACGCCCAGCGCGAGGACCCCAGGACGCCCAGCGCGAGGACCCCAGGACGCCCAGCGCGAGGACUCCACAUCCUUACGUUGCAACCCUCCUGGAAUAGGCCAACAUCGUCAUCACCUGGAAUCCUGCGUGGGACCCUGGACACAUGGACACAGAGCCUGCCCAUAGGACCUUCCAACUGUAAAUCGAUUGGAAGCGCCCUUCUGAGCCGAGGCCUUCAAAGGGCUGAGGAGAAAAUGCAGUCCGAGAGACCAGCUCCUCAAAUAGGCUUCAAGCCUCCAUGACCUGAGCCCACCCCCUGGAAAUGUCUGGAAAGCAUAAUGGGCAGGUUUUCUGUCUUCAAAGUUUCCAUCGAAACCUCUUCAAGUUCCUUAUUGUUUAGGACUGAGACACUUGGGGACGGUAAUGGGGACUUUCUUUUGUAUCUGUCUUGAAAGGCCAAAAUAUUUUUAUAUUGCUGUAGACAAAGCCACCUAUUUACAAAUGAACUCUGUUCCGUCGUUUCCCACCAGGAAGGCUGUACUGUGUUUGUAUCUCUAUGUAUGCUGGGGUCUUGAAACAGGUUUCUCAUGGGGAUGGCCAUUCACUGGGGCCCAGAGGGGCAGAAAGGGAAGUGUCUACCCAGCCAAGGGGGUCUGGGGAAGGAGGGGUCUAGUCUCAGAUUUGCUCCUUGUAUGUCUAGGGUAAACCCUGGGAGAAUCUGGUAGUAAAAGAACAUAUGCUGUGUUUGCACCACAUCUGCCAUUUGUGUGUGUUUCUGGGCUAUAGGUUUGUACACUUUAGAGCUUAACAUGGUGGGAGGAAGUAAGAAGGGCCAAGAGGGCACGGGCGCUCUGGUUUUCUUGUCGGGAAGCUGUUUCACUGGUGUGUGUUACAUCACAUAAUGCAUGUUUGGCUGGGCAAGUGA
RNAcentral lists this long non-coding RNA (1184 nucleotides) under Rattus norvegicus (Norway rat). RNAcentral describes it as "long non-coding RNA NONRATT024626". The record is from RNAcentral. Lineage: Eukaryota; Metazoa; Chordata; Mammalia; Rodentia; Muridae.